GGAGAGGUGGCAGAGUGGUCGAUUGCGGCGGUCUUGAAAACCGUUGUACUGCAAGGUACCGGGGGUUCGAAUCCCUCCCUCUCCGCAA
RNAcentral lists this transfer RNA (88 nucleotides) under Tannerella sp. CAG:118. Its description in RNAcentral is "transfer RNA-Ser(TGA)". It matches the Rfam family "tRNA". Rfam says of the family: Transfer RNA (tRNA) molecules are approximately 80 nucleotides in length. Lineage: Bacteria; Pseudomonadati; Bacteroidota; Bacteroidia; Bacteroidales; Tannerellaceae. The record is from RNAcentral.